Pelobates cultripes (western spadefoot toad) is the source of this 2463-nucleotide non-coding RNA. The record is from the annotation of a GenBank genome assembly. NCBI's taxonomy places the organism in Eukaryota, Metazoa, Chordata, Amphibia, Anura, Pelobatidae.
GGGGGAGGCAGCCUAUAGAUCAGGUAAGUGAGGGAUGGGGGAGACAGCCUACAGGAAGGGUCAGCAAGGAGCAGGAAGGUAAAGUAAGAGAAGAAGCAGAAAGGAGCAGGAAGGGACAUUAAGGAGCAGAAAGGGGCAGCAAUGAGCUGGAAGGGACAGCAAGGAACACAAAAGGUAAAGUAGGAGAAGGAGCACAGAGGAACAUAAAUAAGGAGGAAGGGGCAUCAAGGAGCAUGAAGGGUCAGCAAGGAGCACAAAGGGUCCACAAGAAGCAGGAAGGGGCAGCAAGGAACUGGAAGGUAAAGCAGCACAAAGGUAAAGUAGAAGGAGAAGAAAGGGUCAGCAAGGAGCUGGAAAGGGCAGCAAGGAGCAGGAAGGGACAGAAGGAGCACAAAGGUAAAGUAGGAGAAGGAAGAGAAAUGAGCAGGAAGGGACAUCAAGGAGCAGCAAUGAGCUGGAAGGGGCAGAAGGAGCACAAACGUAAAGCAGGAGAAGGAGCAGAAAUUAGCAGGAAGGAUCUGCAAGGAGCAGGAAAGAUCUGCAAGGAGAAGGAAGGGUCUGCAAAGAGCAGAAAGGGACAGAAGGUGAACAAAGGUAAAGGAGCAGAAAGAAUCAGAAGGAGUACAAAUGUAAAGUAGGAGAAGGAGCAGAAAGGGUCUACAAGGAGCAGAAAGGGAUCAGUAAGAGAAAGGAACAGAAGGGUGCAAAAUAAGCAGAAAGUAGCAGAAAGGUAAAGGAGUAGAAGGAGCCAAUGAGGAGAGAAGACAGUGUCAGAAGAAAAAGAAGACUGUGUCAAAUAAUGGAGAAGAAAAGGAGAUUGGAGCAGGAAGGACAAGUGAAGUGAACCCUCCACUUGAUUCUGGACACCACAUCAUAAGGCUUUGGUACCUGGGCCUGGCAGGGAAACUUUGGACCUUCUCAUCUCCCCAGGUAAAAAAAAAAAUAUCAGUGUUAAUGUGUUGACUUUUAUUUACUGAGUGUCAGGAAGCAGAGUGCCGGUGGGUAGGAGUGUCGCUGAUUGGCUAGAGCGGUCAGCUGGCACUCUAAGCCAAUCAGUAGCUCACCAUUCAUAAAAAAGUAAAACUUUUUUAUGAACCGGGAACUAGCGAUUGGCUUAGAGCGUCAAUUGACCAUUCUAGCCAAUCUGCAGUACCCAUGCCUGACAUCAAUCUGCACUUCCUGCCACUCCGUUUCAGAAGCUGAAUACCACUGAGCGACCUGGAGAUCUGGAGCUGGAGGAAGCCUUUGGGGUUAAACCAUUUGAGAGCGGUUUAACCUCUUAAAGGAAAGAGAGCACCCCGGGGAUUCCUGGCAUCAUAAAAUUUAAUUUAGAUGAAGUUGUUAUGGUGACCAGAAUGUUCUUUUAAUUUGCUUAAAGGAACACUAUAGUGUCAGGAAUACAAACAUGUAUUCCUGACACCAUAGUUGUGAAAAUGCUAUUCACCUUUGCUUUAUGUGAUAAUGACUAUGCCCCUUUCCCUUUCUUGACACUGUCAAAAAGGGACCAAGCAUGGAUGUCAUUACAAUUCCCCCUCCCCCCCCGUGGAAAAAUUGCUGCGGACGCCCAUGGUGACUUGCCAAUGGAGAUUCUGCUGCUUUGGUAAAGUCAGAAUCGGUGCCCUUUUGUGGGUAACCCCACUCUGGGUAGGAGAUGCGUUUUCUACAGUCGUCGGUGGCAACCUCCAAGGUGACAAGUGAGUCAAGAACAGAACUCAGAGAACAGUCCAUCUAAUUGAGUCAGGAUAGAGGUUUCAGGUCUCGAGGCGUAAUGUUACAAAUGGCGUCUGCCAUCUUGUAUGAGAUAAGAUAGCUGCAGCUGAUGAAAUGGCUGCUUAUAUGUUGUCACCGUAACACAGGUAGUGAGUACCAGCAUAUCCAGGGGAGAGCACAAGGGAUAAUUACCAGAGUUUACUAAUUACAGGAGGCAAAUAUUAUACUUUUUCUCUUACUUUAUUCCUCAGCAGCAAAGAAAGGAUAUAAGAUAUUCAUAAAAAUCUUUUUUAAACAAGUACCCUAAAGGAUUAACCAUAACAUCAUAGCAUCUUAGCCAAUGAGAGCAGUCCACAUAGCCAUAUCAUCCCAUGUGACUCUUAGCCACUCCUCUUUCUUGGUGAUGCCGAAGCCAACCUUCAACGAAAAAAAUGAAAUUAAAGUAACUGGAUCAACACAUCAGACUGCCUAGCCGCCGAUAUCCUCCGCGUGAAUGGAUCUUUAGGAACACAUCCACUGUAAAUUGUAAAGAAAACCGAUCUUGAUGGUAGUAAUCAGCAAAGUGUCAAGCUGGAAGGGACAGAGAAAAGAAAUGGUAAAAUAUGUCCCAGAGACCAUCAUCCAUAUUACCACAGUACAGACUAGGCUGAAUGAUUUAAAUAUAUGCGACUAAAAUAAGCAUACAGUAGACAAUAAAAUCUUGACAUACUACAAAAAAACAAGCCAGACGUCAAAUCAAUCCCUAUGACUUAC